GUAAGUAUAGUUUAACCAAAACAUCAGAUUGUGAUUCUGAAAAUAGGGGUUAGAGCCCCCUUACUCACC
Molecule: transfer RNA, 69 nt
Filed under: Yuriria alta (sardina blanca)
Lineage: Eukaryota; Metazoa; Chordata; Actinopteri; Cypriniformes; Leuciscidae
Description: tRNA-His
Rfam family: tRNA
About the family: Transfer RNA (tRNA) molecules are approximately 80 nucleotides in length. Their secondary structure includes four short double-helical elements and three loops (D, anti-codon, and T loops). Further hydrogen bonds mediate the characteristic L-shaped molecular structure. tRNAs have two regions of fundamental functional importance: the anti-codon, which is responsible for specific mRNA codon recognition, and the 3' end, to which the tRNAs corresponding amino acid is attached (by aminoacyl-tRNA synthetases). tRNAs cope with the degeneracy of the genetic code in two manners: having more than one tRNA (with a specific anti-codon) for a particular amino acid; and 'wobble' base-pairing, i.e. permitting non-standard base-pairing at the 3rd anti-codon position.
Source: RNAcentral